GCGCUUGCCUCGGCAGCACAAAUACUAUAAUAAGAACAGCGCAGAGAAGAUGAGACCCCUGAACGAGGAUGACAUACACAUUUGUGAAGCAUUCUAUUUGUUA
Molossus molossus (Pallas's mastiff bat) is the source of this 103-nucleotide small nuclear RNA. The record is from RefSeq and is a predicted model, not a curated record. NCBI's taxonomy places the organism in Eukaryota, Metazoa, Chordata, Mammalia, Chiroptera, Molossidae.